Molecule: ribosomal RNA, 330 nt
Filed under: uncultured eukaryote
Lineage: Eukaryota
Description: partial 18S ribosomal RNA
Rfam family: Eukaryotic small subunit ribosomal RNA
Source: RNAcentral
CCCUUAGACGUUCUGGGCCGCACGCGCGCUACACUGACCAGUGCAACAAGCAUCCGUCCUUGGCCGACAGGCCCGGGCAAUCUUUGAACGCUGGUCGUGAUGGGGAUAGACUUUUGCAAUUUUUGGUCUUCAACGAGGAAUUCCUAGUAAACGCAAGUCAUCAACUUGCAUUGAUUACGUCCCUGCCCUUUGUACACACCGCCCGUCGCACCUACCGAUUGAAUGAUUUAGUGAGGACUUCGGACUGGGACCGAUGCGGCUUUCGGGCUGCGUCGGUAUUCUGGAAAGAUGUCCAAACUGUAUCAUUUAGAGGAAGUAAAAGUCGUAACA